ACGUUUUAAGUAUAGAAAUAUAUUUGGCUUCCAACUAAAAGACCUUGGCUUAAUAUCCCAAGAUAACGUA
Molecule: transfer RNA, 70 nt
Filed under: Neocucumis proteus
Lineage: Eukaryota; Metazoa; Echinodermata; Holothuroidea; Dendrochirotida; Cucumariidae
Description: tRNA-Gly
Rfam family: tRNA
About the family: Transfer RNA (tRNA) molecules are approximately 80 nucleotides in length. Their secondary structure includes four short double-helical elements and three loops (D, anti-codon, and T loops).
Source: RNAcentral